UACGGAAGGCAGCAGUGGGGAAUAUUGCACAAUGGGCGCAAGCCUGAUGCAGCCAUGCCGCGUGUAUGAAGAAGGCCUUCGGGUUGUAAAGUACUUUCAGUCGUGAGGAAGGUGUUAAGGUUAAUAACCUUAGCAAUUGACGUUAGCGACAGAAGAAGCACCGGCUAACUCCGUGCCAGCAGCCGCGGUAAUACGGAGGGUGCGAGCGUUAAUCGGAAUUACUGGGCGUAAAGGGCAUGCAGGCGGUUAAUUAAGUUGGAUGUGAAAUCCCCGGGCUUAACCUGGGAAUGGCAUUCAAGACUGGUUAGCUAGAGUCUUGUAGAGGGGGUAGAAUUCCAUGUGUAGCGGUGAAAUGCGUAGAGAUGUGGAGGAUACCGGUGGCGAAGGCGGCCCCUGGGACAAAGACUGACGCUCAUGUGCGAAAGCGUGGGGAGCAAACAGGAUUAGAUACC
RNAcentral lists this ribosomal RNA (452 nucleotides) under uncultured bacterium. Its description in RNAcentral is "bacterial SSU rRNA". It matches the Rfam family "Bacterial small subunit ribosomal RNA", at positions 340 to 786 of the family's 1533-position model. The record is from RNAcentral.